GUUACCUUGUUACGACUUCACCCCAAUCAUCUACCCCACCUUAGGCAGCUCCCUCCUUGCGGUUAGGCCACUGACUUCGGGUGUUGUAAACUCUCGUGGUGUGACGGGCGGUGUGUACAAGACCCGGGAACGUAUUCACCGCGACAUUCUGAUUCGCGAUUACUAGCGAUUCCAACUUCAUGUAGGCGAGUUGCAGCCUACAAUCCGAACUGAGAUUGGCUUUAUGAGGUUUGCUCCACGUCACCGCUUCGCUUCUCUUUGUACCAACCAUUGUAGCACGUGUGUAGCCCAGGUCAUAAGGGGCAUGAUGAUUUGACGUCAUCCCCACCUUCCUCCAGUUUGUCACUGGCAGUCUCGUUAGAGUCCCCAUCUCACUGCUGGCAACUAACGACAGGGGUUGCGCUCGUUGCGGGACUUAACCCAACAUCUCACGACACGAGCUGACGACAACCAUGCACCACCUGUAUCCAUUGUCCCCGAAGGGAACCCUCUAUCUCUAGAGGCGUCAAUGGUAUGUCAAGACCUGGUAAGGUUCUUCGCGUUGCUU
This 547-nucleotide ribosomal RNA is filed under the name uncultured bacterium. RNAcentral's name for it is "partial 16S ribosomal RNA". The record is from RNAcentral.